Molecule: ribosomal RNA, 1624 nt
Filed under: uncultured soil eukaryote
Lineage: Eukaryota
Description: SSU rRNA
Rfam family: Eukaryotic small subunit ribosomal RNA
Source: RNAcentral
AUGGAUAUCUGUGGGAAUUCUAGAGCUAAUACAUGAACUUUGGCGACGUUCCGCGGUCGGAUUCUGGGCAACCGGAGUUUGGUCUCGGGGUCGGCGUUCGUCCAAUUUAACUGAGGGACUCUCGUCCAAGUAGUUGUCAAACAAGGGUGAAUCCUGACGAACUUUUUUGCGAAUCGCACAGAUGCACCGACCGGCGUCCUCUCGGGGGCGUCGGACCAAUCGGGGCGGCGAUGGUUUGUAGGGUUUUCCGACUCAUCAGCCAUGUUGGUAAUCCAUGGGUUUACCAAGGCGUCGACGGGUGACGGAGGAUUGGGGUUUGAUCCCGGAGAGGGAGCCUGAGAGAUGGCUACCACUUCUAAGGAAGGCAGCAGGCGCGCAAAUUACCCAAUGCCAAAACGGUGAGGUAGUGACGAUCAAUAACGACACGGACUCUCUAAGAGGGUCCGUGAUCGGAAUGAGCUCGUGUUAGACGGCCGAGCGAGUAACGAUCGGAGGAAAAGUCUGGUGCCAGCACCCGCGGUAAUUCCAGCUCCGAUAGCAUAUAUUAAAGUUGUUGCAGUUAAAAAGCUCGUAGUUGGAUCCGAGGACUGCGGUCGUCGCGUUCGCCGCCACGAGUGGCGUGACGCGCGCCCAGUCCAAAACCGUCAGCGGGACGGCGGUCGGCAGCGGCUUCGGCGCGCACCGGCCGUCGUGGGUUCGCCCGACUCGCGCGGUUUACACCUGGAGCAAAUUAGGGUGUUCAAAGCAGGUGGCUCAUCAGAGCGCCUUGAAUAGGUCAGCGUGGGAUGUAACACGGAACCCAUUGUCUCUAGUCCGGCCGUCGCCUCUCGGGGUGACGGUGCUUCUGCUUGUUGGGUCGGUUCGCCGGCCCAAGGGUCUCUCAGAGAGUUUUUCAGUGGGAACGAUUGAUGAGGGUGGUCGGUGGCAUCAGUAUUUGCCCGUCAGAGGUGAAAUUCUUGGACCGGGCAAAGACUAUCAUCAGCGAAAGCAUUUGCCAAGUACACCUUUCUCAAUCAAGAACGAAAGUCGGGGGAUCGAAGAUGAUCAGAUACCGUCGUAGUCCCGACCGCAAACGAUGCCAACCAGGGAUCGGGGGGCGUCGCAUGGACGGCCCCCCCGGCACCCCCGGGGAAACCUAGAGUCUUUGGGUUCCGGGGGGAGUAUGGUCGCAAGGCUGAAACUUAAAGGAAUUGACGGAAGGGCACCACCAGGCGUGGGGUUUGCGGCUUAAUUCGACCCAACACGGGAAACCUUACCAGGUCCGGACUCCGUAAGGAUUGACAGACUAAGGGACCUUUCUUGAUCCUGAGGGUGGUGGUGCAUGGCCGUUCUUGGUUGGUGGAGCGAUCCGUCAGGUCAAUUCCGUUAACGAACGAGACCUCGACCCCCCAAAUAGUGACGCGUUGUCCUGCCAACUCGGGGUUCGUUUCCCUGCGGCGGUUGGCCGUCGUCGCCGUGGUUCUGCCGCGGUGGUGGCGGUCGCCGUCGUGACGGGGGCGACCUCGGUGGGACACGCGUUCGACUUCUUAGAGGGACGGCUCGCGCUUAGCGAGAGGAAGCUUGAGGCAAUAACAGGUCUGUGAUGCCCUUUAGAUGUUCUGGACCGCACGCGCACCACACUGGU